UACGUAGGGUGCAAGCGUUGUCCGGAAUUAUUGGGCGUAAAGAGCUCGUAGGCGGCUUGUCACGUCGACUGUGAAAACCCGGGGCUCAACUCCGGGCCUGCAGUCGAUACGGGCUGGCUUGAGUGCGGUAGGGGAGACUGGAAUUCCUGGUGUAGCGGUGAAAUGCGCAGAUAUCAGGAAGAACACCCGUGGCGAAGGCGGCUCUCUGGGACGGUACUGACGCUGAGACGCGAAAGCGUGGGGAGCGAACAGG
RNAcentral lists this ribosomal RNA (253 nucleotides) under uncultured bacterium. RNAcentral's name for it is "partial 16S ribosomal RNA". It matches the Rfam family "Bacterial small subunit ribosomal RNA", at positions 524 to 776 of the family's 1533-position model. The record is from RNAcentral.